GGGGGGAGGCCGGAUCUUGGGCUGUGUCCUGGCGCCCUGUGUUCCGGGGCCUGGGCUCUUGGAUUCUCGCUCCAAGCCCGCAGCCCCCU
This 89-nucleotide microRNA precursor is filed under the name Canis lupus familiaris (dog). RNAcentral's name for it is "mir-8799 microRNA precursor family". It matches the Rfam family "mir-8799 microRNA precursor family". RNAcentral also lists the same sequence under 1 other name. Lineage: Eukaryota; Metazoa; Chordata; Mammalia; Carnivora; Canidae. The record is from Rfam by way of RNAcentral.